GGCGGCGUGCUUAACACAUGCAAGUCGAACGAUGAACCACUUCGGUGGGGAUUAGUGGCGAACGGGUGAGUAACACGUGGGCAAUCUGCCCUGCACUCUGGGACAAGCCCUGGAAACGGGGUCUAAUACCGGAUACUGACCCGCUUGGGCAUCCAAGCGGUUCGAAAGCUCCGGCGGUGCAGGAUGAGCCCGCGGCCUAUCAGCUUGUUGGUGAGGUAAUGGCUCACCAAGGCGACGACGGGUAGCCGGCCUGAGAGGGCGACCGGCCACACUGGGACUGAGACACGGCCCAGACUCCUACGGGAGGCAGCAGUGGGGAAUAUUGCACAAUGGGCGAAAGCCUGAUGCAGCGACGCCGCGUGAGGGAUGACGGCCUUCGGGUUGUAAACCUCUUUCAGCAGGGAAGAAGCGAAAGUGACGGUACCUGCAGAAGAAGCGCCGGCUAACUACGUGCCAGCAGCCGCGGUAAUACGUAGGGCGCGAGCGUUGUCCGGAAUUAUUGGGCGUAAAGAGCUCGUAGGCGGCUUGUCACGUCGGUUGUGAAAGCCCGGGGCUUAACCCCGGGUCUGCAGUCGAUACGGGCAGGCUAGAGUUCGGUAGGGGAGAUCGGAAUUCCUGGUGUAGCGGUGAAAUGCGCAGAUAUCAGGAGGAACACCGGUGGCGAAGGCGGAUCUCUGGGCCGAUACUGACGCUGAGGAGCGAAAGCGUGGGGAGCGAACAGGAUUAGAUACCCUGGUAGUCCACGCCGUAAACGGUGGGCACUAGGUGUGGGCGACAUUCCACGUCGUCCGUGCCGCAGCUAACGCAUUAAGUGCCCCGCCUGGGGAGUA
Molecule: ribosomal RNA, 830 nt
Filed under: Streptomyces sp. Sp080513G1-16
Lineage: Bacteria; Bacillati; Actinomycetota; Actinomycetes; Kitasatosporales; Streptomycetaceae
Description: bacterial SSU rRNA
Rfam family: Bacterial small subunit ribosomal RNA
Source: RNAcentral